RNAcentral lists this ribosomal RNA (452 nucleotides) under uncultured bacterium. RNAcentral's name for it is "bacterial SSU rRNA". It matches the Rfam family "Bacterial small subunit ribosomal RNA", at positions 29 to 526 of the family's 1533-position model. The record is from RNAcentral.
AACGAACGCUGGCGGCAGGCCUAACACAUGCAAGUCGAACGCUCCAGCAAUGGAGAGUGGCAGACGGGUGAGUAACACGUGGGAACCUUCCCUAUGGUUCGGAAUAGCUCAGGGAAACUUGGGGUAAUACCGGAUAAGCCCUUCGGGGGAAAGAUUUAUCGCCAUUGGAUGGGCCCGCGUCGGAUUAGCUAGUUGGUGAGGUAACGGCUCACCAAGGCGACGAUCCGUAGCUGGUCUGAGAGGAUGAUCAGCCACACUGGGACUGAGACACGGCCCAGACUCCUACGGGAGGCAGCAGUGGGGAAUAUUGGACAAUGGGCGCAAGCCUGAUCCAGCCAUGCCGCGUGAGUGACGAAGGUCUUCGGAUUGUAAAGCUCUUUUGGCGGGGACGAUAAUGACGGUACCCGCAGAAUAAGCCCCGGCUAACUUCGUGCCAGCAGCCGCCGUAACAC